This 74-nucleotide transfer RNA is filed under the name Pedinophyceae sp. YPF-701. RNAcentral describes it as "tRNA-Ile". It matches the Rfam family "tRNA". Rfam says of the family: Transfer RNA (tRNA) molecules are approximately 80 nucleotides in length. Their secondary structure includes four short double-helical elements and three loops (D, anti-codon, and T loops). Further hydrogen bonds mediate the characteristic L-shaped molecular structure. tRNAs have two regions of fundamental functional importance: the anti-codon, which is responsible for specific mRNA codon recognition, and the 3' end, to which the tRNAs corresponding amino acid is attached (by aminoacyl-tRNA synthetases). tRNAs cope with the degeneracy of the genetic code in two manners: having more than one tRNA (with a specific anti-codon) for a particular amino acid; and 'wobble' base-pairing, i.e. permitting non-standard base-pairing at the 3rd anti-codon position. The record is from RNAcentral. Lineage: Eukaryota; Viridiplantae; Chlorophyta; Pedinophyceae.
GGGCUAUUAGCUCAGUUGGUUAGAGCGCACCCCUGAUAAGGGUGAGGCCACUGGUUCGAGUCCAGUAUAGCCCA